UGACCCAGGCAAUGAGCAAAGAAACACCUUGUUGGCAGUAUUCUUCUGUCAGUCAGUGCCAGAGCAGACAGCGGUCCUUUGUUCAUCCUAGCUUGAUGUCUGGCUUGGUGGUCAAAACUGUCUUAUGCCUAGGACACAUAA
This is a small nucleolar RNA of Apodemus sylvaticus (European woodmouse), 141 nucleotides long. RefSeq annotates it as small nucleolar RNA SNORA48. Lineage: Eukaryota; Metazoa; Chordata; Mammalia; Rodentia; Muridae. The transcript has a single exon. The record is from RefSeq and is a predicted model, not a curated record.